CUUUGCUGUUGUUACAAAUUACUCGACCUACAGCAGUUGGCCGAGUAUCCCUGUGAAUUAGUCACUGGAUAACCAGGGAAUUUAUGCAGUGAAUUCAUAUUUAUAGAUAAUUUGUUAGUUUUACAGUUCAUGGUUAUUACAAACAUUUUACAAACUAUAUUGUUUCAUGAUUACGGAAAGUGUACAGUUUUGUCCGGUUUUGUUUCUAAAGAUUAAAACUUUAUGAUCAUUGACCUUUAACCUUAUUGAUGAAAACAGUUGAAGCUGGUUGAUCAAUUCUUUAGAAUGGCCCUUCAUGUAUGAAUCCCUAUUAAAAUUUGGAGUACCACCUUCCUUCUUAAAAUGGGUAAAAACUUUAUAUGAUGAUACUAAAGGAUGCCUAUCUAAUAACGGCUGGAUCUCAGAAACCUAUAGACUUCACCGUGGUAUAAAACAAGGAUGUCCGUUAAGUUCUCUUAUGUUUGUAAUAGCAGUUGAAAUC
RNAcentral lists this long non-coding RNA (481 nucleotides) under Mytilus galloprovincialis (Mediterranean mussel). The record is from RNAcentral. Lineage: Eukaryota; Metazoa; Mollusca; Bivalvia; Mytilida; Mytilidae.